RNAcentral lists this ribosomal RNA (250 nucleotides) under uncultured bacterium. RNAcentral describes it as "partial 16S ribosomal RNA". It matches the Rfam family "Bacterial small subunit ribosomal RNA", at positions 524 to 773 of the family's 1533-position model. The record is from RNAcentral.
GACGAACCGUGCGAACGUUGUUCGGAAUCACUGGGCUUAAAGGGCGCGUAGGCGGGCCAUCAAGUCAGGGGUGAAAUCCUCCAGCUCAACUGGAGAACUGCCUUUGAUACUGGUGGUCUUGAGUGGGGUAGGGGCAUGCGGAACAAUGGGUGGAGCGGUGAAAUGCGUUGAUAUCCAUUGGAACUCCGGUGGCGAAAGCGGCGUGCUGGACCUCUACUGACGCUGAGGCGCGAAAGCCAGGGGAGCAAAC